Molecule: ribosomal RNA, 759 nt
Filed under: Staphylococcus aureus
Lineage: Bacteria; Bacillati; Bacillota; Bacilli; Caryophanales; Staphylococcaceae
Description: partial 23S ribosomal RNA
Rfam family: Bacterial large subunit ribosomal RNA
Source: RNAcentral
GUGUGCUUACAAGUAGUCAGAGCCCGUUAAUGGGUGAUGGCGUGCCUUUUGUAGAAUGAACCGGCGAGUUACGAUUUGAUGCAAGGUUAAGCAGUAAAUGUGGAGCCGUAGCGAAAGCGAGUCUGAAUAGGGCGUUUAGUAUUUGGUCGUAGACCCGAAACCAGGUGAUCUACCCUUGGUCAGGUUGAAGUUCAGGUAACACUGAAUGGAGGACCGAACCGACUUACGUUGAAAAGUGAGCGGAUGAACUGAGGGUAGCGGAGAAAUUCCAAUCGAACCUGGAGAUAGCUGGUUCUCUCCGAAAUAGCUUUAGGGCUAGCCUCAAGUGAUGAUUAUUGGAGGUAGAGCACUGUUUGGACGAGGGGCCCCUCUCGGGUUACCGAAUUCAGACAAACUCCGAAUGCCAAUUAAUUUAACUUGGGAGUCAGAACAUGGGUGAUAAGGUCCGUGUUCGAAAGGGAAACAGCCCAGACCACCAGCUAAGGUCCCAAAAUAUAUGUUAAGUGGAAAAGGAUGUGGCGUUGCCCAGACAACUAGGAUGUUGGCUUAGAAGCAGCCAUCAUUUAAAGAGUGCGUAAUAGCUCACUAGUCGAGUGACACUGCGCCGAAAAUGUACCGGGGCUAAACAUAUUACCGAAGCUGUGGAUUGUCCUUUGGACAAUGGUAGGAGAGCGUUCUAAGGGCGUUGAAGCAUGAUCGUAAGGACAUGUGGAGCGCUUAGAAGUGAGAAUGCCGGUGUGAGUAGCGAAAGACGGGUGA